AAAUCAAAUAGAGGUCGCAAAUAAUAAGAUUAGUUUAGGGAGUUACCAUUAGACGAUGAAACAAACGAAAGGGUUAUUUGCCGAAGCACUAAGUUAAAUGGAACUUAGCAAGCUGGGACAUAGUUGAAUAAGCUAUGGACUGUCGGAAUUAUUUCCGGGGAGCUAUGUAUAAU
This is a regulatory RNA element of 173 nucleotides. It matches the Rfam family "Lysine riboswitch aptamer". Rfam says of the family: Riboswitches are metabolite binding domains within certain messenger RNAs that serve as precision sensors for their corresponding targets. Allosteric rearrangement of mRNA structure is mediated by ligand binding, and this results in modulation of gene expression. The record is from Rfam.